CGCACCCGACAGUCGAAACGUAUGCUGUAGGACAUUUCUAAGCAGUUCAUUUACGCUGAGGAGGAAACAUGAUCUGCAUCUUUGUCUUGUCGUGUCUUGCAGGUCUCAGUUUGGGGCUUGAGGUCCAUCAGUCCCACUCUGAUCUCAUCAAAACAACUGGUGAUAAAGUUCACAUUUUCUGCACCCAUGAAAGAACCAACUACAGACAGAUUCUCUGGUACCAACGGAGACCCGCAGACACGGCCAUGAAGCUCAUCGGAUAUUUGUACUUCAAAGACCCGAGUAUGGAAGACGGAUAUAAAGAGGACUUUGGGAUCUCUGGAGAUCUGGGAGGGGAUACGGCGAAGAACGGAUCCCUGAUGAUCCAAACCGUGAAACAGAAUCACACCGCCGUCUACUACUGCGCUGCGAGAGAAGCACAAUGACAAAAAUCCUCUCUGCACCUCAACAAUAACUGUGCUGUGUUUUAUCAUCAGUGGUUUUAUAGAAAAAUGAUUAAACGUCUUUCAAGCACCUGCUUCUGUGGUUGGACAGAUGGAAGAUUCAACACAUAGACUGAAUAUCUGAGUCACUUUGUUGGAAUUAAACAUUUUUACCACCGACUGAAAACCUACUGUUACCCGCUACACACACAAAUACAUACAAACACUUAUACACAACAACGUCACUGCAUUUUUGUUUUUUUAAAUAUUUUUUGCAAAUGAGAGGCUUCAAAUUUAAUAAGAAUUUGAAACAAAUGUCAAAAGCAGUUUUUAGUGUCAACAAAUGCUAAUUUUUC
Molecule: non-coding RNA, 778 nt
Organism: Xiphophorus maculatus (southern platyfish)
Lineage: Eukaryota; Metazoa; Chordata; Actinopteri; Cyprinodontiformes; Poeciliidae
Source: the annotation of a RefSeq genome assembly